AACCCAAACCCUAGAAUCUGUGGGUCUAUGAAACCGUGAACUCAUAAGACUAUGAGGGAAGACUGAAGUUCUUCGUAAGAUACCAUAGUCACUCAAUAGGGAUAUGUUUUCCUGGGGAAUGGAAGA
RNAcentral lists this small nucleolar RNA (126 nucleotides) under Castor canadensis (American beaver). RNAcentral's name for it is "Small nucleolar RNA SNORA25 (ENSCCNG00000022379.1)". The record is from RNAcentral. Lineage: Eukaryota; Metazoa; Chordata; Mammalia; Rodentia; Castoridae.